CCUACGGGUGGCAGCAGUGAGGCAUAUUGGUCAAUGGGCUCGAGCCUGAACCAGCCAAGUAGCGUGAAGGCUGACUGCCCUACGGGUUUUAAACUUCUUUUAUAAAGGAAUAAAGUGAGGCACGUGUGCCUUUUUGUAUGUACUUUAUGAAUAAGGAUAGGCUAACUCCGUGCCAGCAGCCGCGGUAAUACGGAGGAUCCGCUCGUUAUCCGGAUUUAUUGGGUUUAAAGGGAGCGUAGAUGGGUGGUUAAGUCAGUUGUUAAAGUUUGCGGCUCAACCGUAAAAUUGCAAUUGAAACUGGCAGCCUUGAGUACAGUUGAGGUAGGCGGAAUUCGUGGUGUAGCGGUGAAAUGCUUAGAUAUCACGAAGAACUCCGAUUGCGAAGGCAGCCUACUAAACUGCCACUGACAUUGAUGCUCGAAAGUGUGGGUAUCAAACAGGAUUAGAUACCCUUGUAGUC
RNAcentral lists this ribosomal RNA (460 nucleotides) under uncultured bacterium. RNAcentral's name for it is "partial 16S ribosomal RNA". It matches the Rfam family "Bacterial small subunit ribosomal RNA", at positions 338 to 795 of the family's 1533-position model. The record is from RNAcentral.